CUCUGAAAUUUUUCAACAGAAACUCUCUUGAACGGCUGCUGGACAGCAAGAGGAGUGUGAUCUGUUUAGCAUGGAACCAGUAACUUUAAAUUGCAUUUCAUCACCAGACCAAGGCCCAAACACACAUGGGCGGGGGGAAACAGAACAAGUAUGUGCCUGCAACACUUUAUCCUGUAGUAGAAGGUAACUUUCUGCAAUUGGCUUUUAAAUGCAUGUGGAUUUAUUGAACAGUAUUUUGUUGCAAACUGUGUUUUAAACUGUGUGUGUGUGUGCACGUGUGUAAAACAUAGGUGGGUUUUUUUUAAGUAUAUGGCUGCAAACUGAUGGUAAUGGUGUGUUUCAAACUAAGAGGGUGUUUUUUUUUCCUGUGCAAAAUGGUUUUAAACUGGAUUUUAAAAGUUGAUUUUAAAAGCAGUUUGGUUUUUAUUUUGCAAA
Non-coding RNA from Chrysemys picta bellii (western painted turtle), 435 nucleotides. NCBI's taxonomy places the organism in Eukaryota, Metazoa, Chordata, Testudines, Emydidae. The record is from RefSeq and is a predicted model, not a curated record.